Carassius auratus (goldfish) is the source of this 580-nucleotide long non-coding RNA. RefSeq lists it as uncharacterized. Lineage: Eukaryota; Metazoa; Chordata; Actinopteri; Cypriniformes; Cyprinidae. The record is from RefSeq and is a predicted model, not a curated record. The transcript is spliced from 4 exons.
GCAAGGUUUAAUCUUAGGCCCAACUCUAAGUCUAAAGUCUGGAUAAAUGAUAGGAAUACAUAAGGAUGCUCCAGGAGCGAAAUUAAGGUGACAGUUGGAUGACAUGACCAUAUUUUAAGGAAUAUAAGAUGGAUGAGGAAUGGCAAGCUCUCAGUAUAAGACAGUGUGACGAUGAGUAUAUGAUGAAAUCAAAAAGAUCCAAAAGUUCAGUCUUGAAUACGGAACAUCUUGUACAAGACUGCCAGUGGUGAUCAAAACAAGCAGAGGCAAAGCACGGCGGUCUCAUCAACACAAUUCAGCUGCGCAAACAACAAAAUGGAUAUUUCAGUGACAAUUGGAGGCUUUUGGAGACCAUUAGAUGAAGUCAUGCCACAUGUAAGAUCAAACAGUCCAGACUCUAUCACAAAUUGUACAUGGUAGCAUUGAAGCUGUUUCUCUGUAGGCAACAUUUCUAUCUUCACUUUAUAAGGUAAUGAUGGGAGAUUUGACCUGUGAAUCAGUUAUUUUGAACAGUUCGUUUGAAUUAUCUGCUUUGAAAAUGAUUCAACACUUCUUUCAAGUUGAUUUCAUCACAUGACAU